This is a long non-coding RNA of Sarcophilus harrisii (Tasmanian devil), 3490 nucleotides long. RefSeq lists it as uncharacterized. The transcript is spliced from 7 exons. NCBI's taxonomy places the organism in Eukaryota, Metazoa, Chordata, Mammalia, Dasyuromorphia, Dasyuridae. The record is from RefSeq and is a predicted model, not a curated record.
GAAGACAGCGAGCGAGCGCGAGAGAGAGCGAAGGCAGCUGCUAGUAAGAGAGCGGAGCGAGCGCUGCUCAGGCUCUCUCUGUCCGCGCCCUCUCGCUCUCGCUCAGGCAUCAGGCAGCGGCAGGAGCGCGUGUAGCAGGCAGCGCCUCCAUCCCUCUCUCUGCCUCCCUCCCUUCACUUGGACAGCGGUGCUGACUCUGCCCGAGAGUCUCGGCUGCUUCCAGCCAGGAGGCUCGCACUUACCUCCCUCCUCCCUUUCUCCCUCCUUCCCUGCUGAGCCCAAUUGCUCCUUCUCCAGCUCCUCCUCCUCUUCCACCUCCCCUUCUGGAGAGGACUACCAUCCUCAGCUGGGAGAGUGCAGGUACUUUGCUUUCACCGAAUAUCUCGCAGGACCCAAGCAAGCUUUUUUACCGGGUUUUUUGUUACUGUUGUUUUGGGGGGCAUUUUUGUUUUUUUGUUUUCUCUCGUUAAAAAAAGAAAAAGAAGAAGAAAUUACUUUAGAAACAAAGCAAGCAAACCAAGCCCCCACCACCACCAAGCCCAGACCCCCCGCCCAGGGGCUGAAGUGCAUGUGCUUUCUUCUCUUGCAGUUCCUCCGGGGCCUGUGUGGAAUAAAACAUAAUUUUUUUAUUUGACUGUUAGGAGAGGGAAGAGAAGACACCUCAGGGUUUCCAAAGAGGUCCGAGCUGGCUACCUUAGAAUAUAAAUUUGCCUUUGAGGACUUCAUCAUCCCAUGUAUGUUGGAGAUGGAACAGAGGACAAUGUUAAGUACAGAAAGACAAGCUGCCUAGGGAAAACUAACUGUGGAGAGUGAAACUUAAAUUAUCCAGGGAAAUCUUGAGGAGUCUGAUACUUCUAAUCCUCCAGUCAUUGAUUGCCUAAGUUUACAGUUGUGAAGUGGUGGAAAUAAAAGUCAACCACUUCCUGGCCCUUGAUAUUCUAGUUAAGAGUAUCUGACUGACAGCAUGUUGGCACCAGCAGAGUGAGAACCCAUCAGCCUCAGCUCCAGGUCUCUGUCCUGAGAUGACAACAGGAUGUGCCUUGGCGACAGGUCUCAGGGUGGAGAACUUUUCAUUGAAUUUCAUCCCUGUGAGCUCAUGGUAAGAUAGUUUUAUUUUUAAUGUGGAAGAUUAAUCUUUUUACUUGCUUCAACAAUGAUAUUAGAGAAUUUCUAUAUGUCUAAUGCUCCAUAUAUAUAGUUGUAGGAUCUCUCUUAUUAGCUUUUUAUAAAAAUAAAAACUGGAUUUAGUAGUAAGUUUCAUUGCUAUAAUUCCAUAAUAUUUCACAAUUUCACAAAAAAAAAUGUGAUAUUUCCAUCAAAAAUCUUUAUGAUGUGUUCAGGAUAGAUUAUGAUAACUGAAAUAUUUAAUAUAACAUUCACUGUGUGGUGCAUGUGUAUUUAAAGUCAUGGUUCUGGGAAGUGAAAAUUGAUGUUCCUGAGAAAAGUCCUUUGGACAGGAAUGACAAUCUUAUACAUUAAGUUCUUCACAAUUAGGACUAUUUGAUGUCAAUGAAUAGAGGCAAUGAGUUAUUGAAAGUAAAACUUAUUUUCUUACCUGUCAAAGUUUAUCAAAACUGUGUUCUACAACAAAAGCUUGAUGUUAAGAGUUUUAGAAACUGAAAAAGAAAAUAGGCAACAAUUGAAAUAGGUUAAUAUAUAUAUAUAUGUAUAUAUAUAAUAUUACUAAUUUCUGGUCAAUUUUUCUUCCAAUAAUUAAAAAAAGCUUCUUUUACUUCUAAUAUAGAUUCACAGCUAGUAUUUUAUUGCUAUGGAAUAUAUCAGAUAUAUUAAUCUUAUGGUUAAUAUGUUAAAUUUAAGGAAGAUAUCACCAAAAUAUUUCAAUAUUUUUGUAUGUUUUUAUAAAAGUGGGGUUUUAUGAUAGGUGUCAUGAUUAUGAAUCUAUAUGAAUGAGAGAAAAUCUAGAUGGUAGAAAUAAUACUUCAUUUUGGUAUAUGAUCACCUCCAUUAUUUUGGAAACCUCUAAAUUUGAGAUUAAAGAUAUUUUGAAGUUUAUCCUACAUAAUGUGGAUAUUGAAUCUACUGGACAUAUUAAACAGCAAUCCUUAUACACUUCAAAUUGUAUGGGUGUUUCAUAAACUUUUGGGAGAUUCUUAAUACAAGUUCAUUCAAUAAUAGUACAAAGACAGACAAAUAUAGUUAAGAAUAUAACUCGGAAAUAUCAUGUUUGUGUUGUGAAGGAAAGAAUCUCAGACCUACACUUAUGGAAGAAUAAUUUAUAACUUACGUUAUAAAGUCUUAUAUAAAUUUAGUUAUGAGAGACAUUCCCCUGGAAAACCAUUUUAAGAUAAGAAAGAGAGAAAGAGAGAGAUUGAGAACCUGGCAUGCAAUAAAACGUUAUGCUAGCAAGAAAAAUAAAUUAAGUUCAAAAAAGUUCUUCACAUGGGGCAGUCAUAUUGUUUCACUGAAUCAUAUAAGUUCUAGAACUCAGCAAAGAUGUAGAAUAAGAAUAUUGAAGUCAAAGACAAAACAUCUAUUGUUGCUUAUACUCAUAGUAUGCCAGUUUUCAUAGAUCUUCCAAAUAUGAUAUGUGAAGGUUAGGGGCAAUAGAAGUUUAGUUUAGAAGUUCCUGACUUCUUGAAUAUUGAGGCAAUGACAGUUUAAUUAAUAUGGCCUUUUCUAUUGUCACAUAAUUUCUCAAAGGAACUGAUAUUCCUAGAUAUCAGUUAAAAACCAUGGGAUAAAGAGAAACUCAUACCUAAGAAAAUUUAUAUUUAUUCAGCACUUGAAAUGUACAAAGUUCUGGGUCCUGGGACAGAUGCAAAGGUAAAUGAAAUGUGAUACUUAUGCUUCCAAAUUCAAACCCUGAAUGAUGUCAUAGGCUAAAGGAGCUAGAGGAAAUUCCUUCAAACCAACAAAGUUUGAAAAGGCUGAAAGAGACAGAACUUUCUAAAGGCUUACAACCCAUGAUCUUUAAGAUAUGAAUUUUUAAAAAAAUGCCACAUUAGGGUAUAUACCCAAAAUUACUGGGGAAAAGAUUCUUAGGGUGGUCUCAGAGAGAGAGGGGGCUUUUCUUAUUUAAGGCAGUAGGGAUAAGGAUUAUUGUGGCCAGAGAAUGGAAAAGAUAUACGUGAGAGACUAAAAAAUGAGGGAUGAUAAUCAAUAAUAGAAGAAUAUAGGAUAAGUACCUAUUCUCAUUUUAUACUUGUAGUAUAUUUGCUAAUAAUGCCAUUGUUGAUCCUCAAGCUAAAUACACAUCCUUUGUUUUCCCAACAAAGGACAAUAAGUCUUGGGGAAAUCUGAAUAAAAAUAUUUUUUUUCCCUCCCAAAUGAAAUCUAUUAGCAAAAUAUUGAGAACUGAGAUUGUACUUACUUGGUGCAAAAUUGUAGAUAGAAGGUCAGUUGGGCAGAAGGAGAAAGAGAAUUCUGGAAAAAGUAGAGUUCAUUCCCUGUGAAUGAUCCUAGAGUGAAAAUAUCUUUGUAGCUUUAUUAAUUUUCCAUUCAUUUAUGACUAUAUGUUUUUUUUAAUUUU